AUUGAACGCUGGCGGCAGGCCUAACACAUGCAAGUCGAGCGGAUGAAGGGAGCUUGCUCCUGGAUUCAGCGGCGGACGGGUGAGUAAUGCCUAGGAAUCUGCCUGGUCGUGGGGGAUAACGUCCGGAAACGGGCGCUAAUACCGCAUACGUCCUGCGGGAGAAAGUGGGGGAUCUUCGGACCUCACGCUAUCAGAUGAGCCUAUGUCGGAUUAGCUAGUUGGUGGGGUAAAGGCCUACCAAGGCGACGAUCCGUAACUGGUCUGAGAGGAUGAUCAGUCACACUGGAACUGAGACACGGUCCAGACUCCUACGGGAGGCAGCAGUGGGGAAUAUUGGACAAUGGGCGAAAGCCUGAUCCAGCCAUGCCGCGUGUGUGAAGAAGGUCUUCGGAUUGUAAAGCACUUUAAGUUGGGAGGAAGGGCAGUAAGUUAAUACAUUGCUGUUUUGACGGUACCAAAAGAAUAAGCACCGGCUAACUUCGUG
Molecule: ribosomal RNA, 484 nt
Filed under: uncultured bacterium
Lineage: Bacteria
Description: partial 16S ribosomal RNA
Rfam family: Bacterial small subunit ribosomal RNA
Source: RNAcentral